RNAcentral lists this ribosomal RNA (403 nucleotides) under uncultured bacterium. Its description in RNAcentral is "bacterial SSU rRNA". It matches the Rfam family "Bacterial small subunit ribosomal RNA", at positions 355 to 775 of the family's 1533-position model. The record is from RNAcentral.
UUGGGAAUCUUGGACAAUGGGGGAAACCCUGAUCCAGCCAUGCCGCGUGAGUGAUGAAGGCCUUCGGGUUGUAAAACUCUUUCGACGGGGACGAUAAUGACGGUACUCGUAGAAGAAGCUCCGGCUAACUUCGUGCCAGCAGCCGCGGUAAUACGAAGGGGGCUAGCGUUGUUCGGAAUUACUGGGCGUAAAGCGCGCGCAGGCGGUUUUUCAAGUCAGUGGUGAAAGCCCGGAGCUCAACUCCGGAACUGCCAUUGAAACUGUAAAACUUGAGGACGAGGGAGGUGAGUGGAAUUCCCAGUGUAGAGGUGAAAUUCGUAGAUAUUGGGAAGAACACCGGUGGCGAAGGCGGCUCACUGGCUCGUAUCUGACGCUCAGGCGCGACAGCGUGGGGAUCAAACAG